GGACGAACGCUGGCGGCGUGCCUAACACAUGCAAGUCGAACGGACGAAGCCCUUCGGGGCCUAGUUAGUGGCGAACGGGUGAGUAACGCGUGAGGAACCUGCCUUUCAGAGGGGGACAACAGCUGGAAACGGCUGCUAAUACCGCAUAACGCAACGAGACCGCAUGAUCUUGUUGCCAAAGAUUUAUCGCUGAAAGAUGGCCUCGCGUCUGAUUAGCUAGUUGGUGGGGUAACGGCCUACCAAGGCGACGAUCAGUAGCCGGACUGAGAGGUUGAACGGCCACAUUGGGACUGAGAUACGGCCCAGACUCCUACGGGAGGCAGCAGUGGGGAAUAUUAGGCAAUGGGGGAAACCCUGACCUAGCAACGCCGCGUGAAGGAAGAAGGCUUUCGGGUUGUAAACUUCUUUUACCAGGGACGAAGAACGUGACGGUACCUGGAGAAAAAGCCACGGCUAACUACGUG
RNAcentral lists this ribosomal RNA (464 nucleotides) under uncultured bacterium. RNAcentral's name for it is "bacterial SSU rRNA". It matches the Rfam family "Bacterial small subunit ribosomal RNA", at positions 27 to 507 of the family's 1533-position model. The record is from RNAcentral.